AUUUUUCGCUUUUAGACAGUUAAUUGUAGCUGGUUUCCUUUAUUGGGCGUUUAUCUGAUAAGUCGUGUGCUUCUGUACAUCGAUUUGUUUGGAAAUGCCAUCCCGUUACCAUUUUAAAUGUUUUUGUGGAAUUUGAAAAUAAAAUUAUCAAGAUUUCAUUAAUCUUCCUUAAGUUUGUUGAUGAUUUGUCGAGUAGUUAAUCACAAAGUACUGAAAAUUGACUAAUUUGAAAUGUAUUUUAGUGACGAUAAUAUGGAG
This 258-nucleotide unclassified non-coding RNA is filed under the name Hevea brasiliensis (rubber tree). Lineage: Eukaryota; Viridiplantae; Streptophyta; Magnoliopsida; Malpighiales; Euphorbiaceae. The record is from RNAcentral.